CCCUAUAGCCUUCGUCUUCCUCGUCUCCGGCGCUGCCUUAGCCCCCAUCUUCCUCCUCUCCGGCGCUGCCUUAGCCCCCAUCUUCCUUCUCUCCGGCGCGGACCGUCCGACUUCUACCUCCCUCCUCUCCGGUGUCGACUGACCGACCCCAAGGUAGUUUUCUCCUCCUCCCUCCUCUCAUUUCGUCUCGCUUGUUCUCCUCCUUCUCCUCCUCCUGUUGUUCGGGUGUUCGUGGGUUUUUCUCCUUCU
RNAcentral lists this long non-coding RNA (249 nucleotides) under Phoenix dactylifera (date palm). Its description in RNAcentral is "long non-coding RNA (PDAC_LNC008540)". Lineage: Eukaryota; Viridiplantae; Streptophyta; Magnoliopsida; Arecales; Arecaceae. The record is from RNAcentral.